Molecule: non-coding RNA, 74 nt
Organism: Limnohabitans planktonicus II-D5
Lineage: Bacteria; Pseudomonadati; Pseudomonadota; Betaproteobacteria; Burkholderiales; Comamonadaceae
Source: Rfam
GGGGCGUUAGCUCAGUUGGUUAGAGCAGAGGACUCAUAAUCCUUUGGUCCACGGUUCAAGUCCGUGACGCCCUA